UUUAUUGAGGGGUUACAAUGAGGUUGAAUCCAACAAUUCAAUAAUAAAUCUGCACUGAAUCGGACGACUAUUAAGCACCAGUGCAGACUCCACUGUAGAGGACAGAAAAGAGAAGGCUGUGGUCUGGCCCGAUACAUAACAAUACGCAAUGAAUGGGCUUAAUCCACAAGAAGACCGAUGAGACCCGAUCCGAAUAAAUCACAACAUAGCCAGUGCCUUAUAAUUUGAUCAUUCGUUCGAUUUGUGCAUCAUCUUAAGAUCUCUUCUGAUAUUUUGAUCUGAGACUCUGCCGAACUAUCUCGAUCUAGAGACGUCGGCUCAUUUCCCUAGGAGAUUCUGAGAUUUCGCUGCAAAAUGGAGGACACGGGAGGCCGAGAUGGACUAAGGAUUCGAAGAUGGAGGUUUCUGGGGAGGCCAGCAUAUGAACCGUCGUCGUCGUCGCCCUUGGUGUUCGCAUCACGACGGAUCUGCGAGAAAUUUGCAUGAAAUCUUCGAAAGCAUAGCAUCGAAGAAAUUUAUGCGUACGAACCGUCGUCGUCGGCCUUGGUGCUCUCGAUCUGCUAGAAAUUUGCAUGAAUAUCCCAGAAGACCUGGGCUGGGUUGCGUAAAGAGAAGCAUCUUCAGACCCAUUCAUUGCAUAGCUUCCACUUCCAGCGAAGAUCCUCAGGUGAAUGUUUGAAUUUGUGGUUCUUUAAUUGAUUGGUUUCUUGUUCGGAAUUGAAAGUUUUAGUUUGGACUGUGCUGAAUUUCUCAAUUAGAACGCUUAAGUGUUGGGGGAACAUGACAAUUCAUAAGCGAAUGCGAAUGGCUUUUAUCGUUCGCGGAUAAAUUAUGUGUGGCAAAAGCGAAUGGCCAAAGUUGGCAUGGUCCUUCGAAUCCUUUUAGAAAAAGGUCUCUUUCAUGCAUUAUUACUAGUGUGGUUUCUCACUGCGAAGCAAAACACACAUGGAAUCGUAUUUGUACUUUGUUAGAGUAAGCGAGAGAGCUUUAGAAUAUUAGGAAGUAAAGUUUUGAAGUUACGAUGAAUGCAGUACAGUGUAGGCUAUAGCAGCGUGAAUA
Molecule: non-coding RNA, 1059 nt
Organism: Prunus avium (sweet cherry)
Lineage: Eukaryota; Viridiplantae; Streptophyta; Magnoliopsida; Rosales; Rosaceae
Source: RefSeq, a predicted model, not a curated record